AUUGAACGCUGGCGGCAUGCCUUACACAUGCAAGUCGAACGGCAGCACGGGUGCUUGCACCUGGUGGCGAGUGGCGAACGGGUGAGUAAUACAUCGGAACGUACCUUAUCGUGGGGGAUAACGCAGCGAAAGCUGUGCUAAUACCGCAUACGCCCUGAGGGGGAAAGCGGGGGAUCGCAAGACCUCGCGCGAUUAGAGCGGCCGAUGCCUGAUUAGCUUGUUGGUGGGGUAAAAGCCCACCAAGGCGACGAUCAGUAGCUGGUCUGAGAGGACGAUCAGCCACACUGGGACUGAGACACGGCCCAGACUCCUACGGGAGGCAGCAAGGGGGAAUUUUGGACAAUGGGGGCAACCCUGAUCCAGCAAUGCCGCGUGAGUGAAGAAGGCCUUCGGGUUGUAAAGCUCUUUUGUCAGGGAAGAAACACCGGCUCUAACACAGUCCGGGAAUGACGGUACCUGAAGAAUAAGCACCGGCUAACUACGUGCCAGCAGCCGCCGUAA
This 501-nucleotide ribosomal RNA is filed under the name uncultured bacterium. Its description in RNAcentral is "partial 16S ribosomal RNA". It matches the Rfam family "Bacterial small subunit ribosomal RNA", at positions 29 to 523 of the family's 1533-position model. The record is from RNAcentral.